GAGGUUAUGACCUCUAUACAUUUAACGGUUCUAUUAAUCGUUCUGGGUCUUUCUUCCCUUUAAACGGCUGUGCUAGGUUUGGAAGUUCGUACGACAUGCAGGGUGUCGGCGCAGAUGAUAUCCAUAAUGGUAAUUAAAACGUCACUGAAUUGGAAGUUUACAAAGUAGCAUAUGACGAAGAUAAAGAAAGAAAACCGUGGCGGGAGUUGGACAACUGGAAUACAAAGGAGCUGGAAAAGCUCAAGGAAGACAUUCUUACAUUCAAACCGUCUCCCGACCUUAGUUUCAAGGAGGCAAGAAUUGCAAUGAUAGGUCCAGUUGGAGCCGGGAAGUCGAGUUUCUACAAUACAAUAGAUUCGAUAUUUCGUGGUCGUAUAACACAAAGAGCCUGCAGUGGAAGCGCGGAGCAAAGUGUUACUACUGGGUAUAUACCAUACUCGGUUAGGACUGACAAUGGAGACUCACCGAAGUUCAUUUUGUGUGACACGCCUGGUCUCGAAGAAUCUGCUGGUUUGGAAGUUAACGAGUGUAGUUACCUACUAGACGGAAACUUACCCAACUUUUACUUAAAAUUCCACAACUUAUUGUACUGACGAAGGUAGACAAGCUAUGUAAAGACGUCCAAAAGGAUAUAUCGUUCACAUACAAAAGCUGGGUAGUUGAGGAACAUGUCGAGAAAGCAUCGCAAUUUCUUGGUCUUCGCCGAUCUAACGUACUUCCGGUCAAAAAUUACGAGGAAGAAACAACACUUGAUAUCAACAUAAACAUUCUUACUUUACUCGCUUUAAGAAAGAUUUUAGACUCGACAGAAGAUUAUAUGCAUAAUCUACUGGAUAGACAAAAGUUUGGGCAAAUGAAAAUAUGCGAAAAGUAACACAAUGUUUCUUGAAAGAAUAAGCAACAUUUUGAGGAGGAAUAAAGAUGUCAGUGCGUAUGCUUGACAUUAAUGACAAUAGCAAUACAAUGUAUUUUUAUGUAUCCUACUACAUGUGUUCUCUAGUGGUAUGCUGCAAUAAUUCUAAUGGUAUUGUUAAUCUAUGUUUUGCUAUGGUUGUAGUUUCUUUAGUGUCUGUAAUGGUAUCUUAAAGCUUAUGCAUAAUCAAAUUAUACAAUUUAGAUAUGAUAUAUCUUGUACUACGUAAAUGUUCAAAACCGAUUAUUGUCAAUUUCCCGCAGCGCAAGGAUUUCAUAUAACAGUAUUAAGUCUUUAGGUUAUUUAUAGAUUUUUUGUGUUUUCACAGCUUUCAGAUUACAGUCGCUCUUUGUUAAUCUAGGUAGCUUUGUUCAUUUCAGGUAGUUAUAACAAAAAGUCGGUGUACUUUCUUUUAAUAUUUAUGAUUUAUGUAAACUUUGCUUCUAAAAAUAAAUACUUAGGGACACUGAGAUAGAUACUACUGAAUUUUUCAUUUACAUCCAUCUUUAUUUCAAAAGAUAAAGAUGAAAGUCUUUCUACCAGACUGGAACGACUAAAUAAGACAUAUAUAUUGUAUCUAUGAAAUCUUAAACAAAAUACUAGUAUAUCCAUUUGUUAAAAGUUAAACCAGUUGGAAAGUAAGCUUUAUAUAUUUUCAUAUUAUAUUGCACAAGGACAUUUAAAACAAUUAAGACCACAGUUUAAUUUCAGAAAAGCACUGAUCAGGUUACUUACCUGAGUCAUUUCAUCUAAUUCAAAGGAAACCAUUGCAAUGUAUAUAUUAUUCACUGAGGUUAAUGAGAACACAGAUGGAUUUUGUAUUAUGAUACCGGCUUGAUGUCCAUACAGUUCAUAAUGUCAAACAAUUCGUAAGUUGUCAUAGUGAUGAAUGUCUUGUUGUUGAUUGUUGAAUACUGCAAUAACUUUUAAAUUCUUUAUUUUAUCUAGGUAAUUAUGUAACUCAUAUGACUCUGGAAAUGUUUUCCCUAAUCAGCCGACCGCGUAAAUUUAGUAAAUGUUAUAUGAUUAUAUUAAUAUCAGCAUUAGUGUUGUUGUUUUGUUUUUCAACAAUAAAGGGGAGUAAUUGUAUAAA
This is a long non-coding RNA of Mercenaria mercenaria, 2006 nucleotides long. RefSeq lists it as uncharacterized. The record is from RefSeq and is a predicted model, not a curated record. The transcript has 5 exons. Lineage: Eukaryota; Metazoa; Mollusca; Bivalvia; Venerida; Veneridae.